This 253-nucleotide ribosomal RNA is filed under the name uncultured bacterium. RNAcentral describes it as "partial 16S ribosomal RNA". It matches the Rfam family "Bacterial small subunit ribosomal RNA", at positions 524 to 776 of the family's 1533-position model. The record is from RNAcentral.
UACGUAGGGGGCAAGCGUUAUCCGGAUUUACUGGGUGUAAAGGGAGCGUAGACGGCUGUGCAAGUCUGAAGUGAAAGCCCGUGGCUCAACCGCGGAACUGCUUUGAAAACUGUAUAGCUUGAGUACUGGAGAGGCAGGCGGAAUUCCUAGUGUAGCGGUGAAAUGCGUAGAUAUUAGGAGGAACACCAGUGGCGAAGGCGGCCUGCUGGACAGAAACUGACGUUGAGGCUCGAAAGCGUGGGGAGCAAACAGG